GUGGUCUUUUCAUGGUCACAUCUACUAAUAGGCUCCAUCCAUGAGGGAAUACCUGUAACACCUGGAAAGUGUGGGUUGCAUUUUUAAGUACUCGGAGCACUUAACAGGAAAUUCUUUGCAGAGCAGCAAUAGCUGAGGCAUUGGCAUGCAAAUACUUGCAAAGUGAAAAUGGAUACACUUCCACAGCUCCUGUCCCUGGCCUCUGGAGGACAGCCUGCCAACCGUGUGUGCAUGUCACUUUGGCACCAAGACAAAUGUUCCCUGGAGCAUAGACUGAAACCACCAAACUGAUAUCACAUGGGAUGCCAGCCAAAGCCUGACCUUGCUCUCUGUAGCUGGAGGCAAACGACGCCAAGAUAGAGAAGCCCAAAUUUCAAGGCAGUACCUUGAAGAAGGAAUACCCAGAGGAGCUGUCUAACCCACACAAUAUGACUAGUUACAAAGAGAGGAAGACAGAGAGAAAGAGAGAAGUCUUCCAUCCGCUGAUUCACUCCCCAAAUGGCUGCAAUGGCCGGAGCUGAGCUGAUCUGAACUGAAUAUCGCUAAAGGAAUCCUCCACAACAACCAUUAGAUUAAGAGACUAGUCUGUUUUCUCUCUGACAUUGAGUCACAGUUUUAAAGAGUCUUUCUUGUGCCAAGAAGUCAUACCAAAAAAUCCCACAAUAUUUAAAGGCAAGGUAGAGAGCAGAGAAAAUAAUCUUCCUCAUUGUUCAGUGCACCUGGCCUCAAUCCAUUCAUUAAGCUUUAUUCAGUCAUCAUCUUCUUCUUAUAAUAUUUAAAACCUAUUUUCCUAAAAUUUUUAAACUUUAUCUCUUAAGUGAGAUUGGUCAGGAGUUUUUUUCUUUGGACACUAUUUCAGCCAAUAUUUUCCAGAAUCCUUGGGGGGUUGUCCCUGAAGAGUUUUCCAGAUAGACUGUAAAAGCACUUAGGGUCUUUGUUCUACUAUUCUGCCCUGAGGGAAACUCUAGAACCUUCUGUUGUUUCAGAUUGGGAUCCAGUAGGUUUUUUGGCAUAGAUGUUUCAAGAAACAUAGCUAGAAUAUAGGGAGUCACAAGGUUUAAUAUUGCUGUAUACCAAAAAUAACUCUUAGCUAAAUCCCUUCAGUUGGAGUUUUGUCUCUGUAUUGGUUGAUUUUGUAUGUCAGAUUGGCUAAGCUAUAGGGUCCACCUAUAUGAUCAGAUACCAGUGUAGACAUUAAUGUGAACGUAUUCUUAAGAUAUGAUUAACACUUACAUAGGAAGACUUUAACAAAGCCCCAAUAAUCUGUGUGAGCUUCAUCCAGUAAGUUGAAAGUCUUAAGAGCAAGGACUGAAGUUUUCCCAAGAAAAAGCAUUUCUGCCUGGAGACUGCACCUGGAAUCCUAGACUAAAUUUCCGGACUGCCGACAUCAGACUCAAGACAGGCAAACAGCUCUUCCCUGGAUUCCUUGCCUGCUGCUGUCCUCUCUAGAUAAGUCCUUAAAAUCAACCCAUCAAUCAAAAAACUCCAUUCCUACUGAAUCUGUUCAUCUGGAGAAAUCUGACUAACCUUAUACACUAUUUAAAUAAAAGUAAUAGCAAAACAUGCUCUUUUAACCACUUGGCUUCUAGAAUAAACCUGGGUUUUGAGCCAAGUUUGAAUAAUGCAAUGAAGUGAUUAAAGAACUAAAGUGAUUAAAUAACUUUGUUAUUUUGCCUACUUGGUUCCAGAUAACCUAUUUGAUAAAUACAUGCAGGGGUACUUCAAAAAGUUCAUGGCUAUCAUUAGGCCAAGUGAAAUAAGCCAGACUCAGAAAGACAAAUGUCACAUAUUUUCUUUCAUGUGUGGAAGUUACUAUAGAGAGCAUAAAAAUUGUGUGGAUGUCAUAUCAUUUGGAACAUAAUUAUAGAUAUUACUUCACUGAAUUAUACACAUACAUGACAAUACACACUUCUUUCCCACAUUAUGAUCUUGUCAUGGAUCCUUCAUUUUGAGAUAUUAAUUUUGCAAUCAAUCUCCUAAUUAAUUUUCAAGAAAAAAUAGUAUAUAUGUGUACACAUAUAAUGUUCAGAUAUGAGAUGAAUGUGACAAAAUUGUUAAAAAGUUAAGGGAAAUGGAAUUAAAAGGUAAGUGUAUUUCAGCACCAAAAAAUUUGAAAUCCACAGAUUUUUCAUAUCAUGCAUUUUUCAUGACCCCUCAUGUGCUUGCAUUUCAAAAAACUUUCCCCACCAAAGUCAACCUCUUUUAAUUCCAUUUUCACAGACGUUAUGAAGUAUGUUCAUACAUUAUUUUUGCUGGUCAAUCUGGUUAGAAAAAUUCCCUGAGAAUUUGUCAAGUGUGUAGACUUUUUCCAUGUCUGAAACUAUGGAUGGUUGCGUGGCUAUUAUUGGAAUUGACUGAGUUACUCCAGUUAGGAUUUGCUUUUGGAUAUAUCAGACAGAAGUUCUCAUGCUUACUUUGAAAUUUUAUCUGUUUCUAUUAAUUUUCUACUAUGUAAGUAUUUUAUUUAUUUAAUUCACAGGCUUUUAUUGGGGUUCCACUCCCGGGCGAGGUUCCCCGGUCCCAACAGAGCAACAGAGCGGGGGCCCGGGGAAGUCGCGCGUCAGAGAUUGGGAGAGCUCCUUUUAUAGAUUCAGGGCAUUGGCGUUAACGGUUGAGGCGGGUCUGAUCCUCUUGGUUGACCUUUAGGCACCCGCAGGGACCUUGGCAAGGACUUUCUUCCCCGGAAGUAGGCCUCUCCAUUCCCGGAAGUGUAGGCCUUCCCUCCUUGUGGAUCCCAAAGCUACCAUCCUGACCUUUUGGUGAUAGGAAAGGGGGCAACGAUGAGUCUCUCUGGCUACUUCCUGCUGACUGGGGAUGUCGUCUCUAUGUAAGUAUUUUAAAAUGAAAUGAAAGGCAUCUAACUUACUCCUCAUGUAGGAUCUCUGUAUUUAAUGUGCUGUACAUUGUGAUUUAAUGCUAUACCUAGUACUCAAACAGUAUUUUACACUUUGUGUUUCUGUGUGGGUGCAAACUAUUGAAAUCUUUACUUAAUAUACACUAAAUUGAUCUUCUGUAUAUAAAGAUAAUUGAAAAUGAAUCUUGAUGUGAUUGGAAGGGGAGAGGGAGCAGAGAGGGGAGGGUUGCGGGUGGGAGGGAGGUUAUGGGUUGGAAAAAGACAUUGUAAUCCAUAAGCUGUACUUUGGAAAUUUAUAUUUACUAAAUAAAAGAUAAAAAAAAGAAAUGAAAGGCAUCUAAUGGCCUCUUCAACGUGACCCUCCCCACCACCAUAGCUCACACUGCCAGUUUGCAGUGAAAAGGACACAGAUGUUGGAGGGGGGCUUUAAACAUCACCUCUCCAGUCUUCUGGAUACAUCCAUUAAUGGAGUCAACCUACAGGAUCAAUAUAGUUAGUGAUAGUUCAUCAUGGACAAGGCACUCUGUUCUGUACUCAUUCAUUAUGGGAUGUCUCCUUGGAGAAUGUAGUAUUGUAGGGGGCAUUGUCUAUAAUGUGAAGCAGAAUGUGAUUCAUUCUUAAAAAAGAAAAGCAAAUAACCCAGCUAACCAAACAAAAACACCUGAGUCUGUGUAACUGUAAGUGAUGAAGCUGUCCCUUCCAGCCCAGUGGUCUGCUGAGGACAGAGUCCUCCAGAGGAUAGAAUGUGGCAUAUAAGGGAAGUAGGAUGUUGGUCAGUGAUGGGGUGUAAUAAUUGGCAGAAGCCAUGCAGUAGAGGGAGAGCAUGAAGAUGAAAAUGGUCAGGGUACACAGGCUGGUUUAGGUGGCCUCGCGCUUCCUGUCAAUGUGGUUAAUCUUAAUGUGUGCCUACAAGGAAGAGAUCUGGGAAUAGUGACUUGCCCCAAAUGGUAGAGUUAAAAACAUACCAGGGGAUUCCAAUUCAAUCCCAUCAAGGUGGCAUGUACCAAUGCCAUCUCACUAUUCCAAGUGAUCAAUUUCAGUUCACAAUUGAUCAUAAUGAAAGGACUAAGAGUCAAAGGGAGCACAUAAACAAGUCUAGUACCUGCUAACACUAACCGAUGGAAUAAAUAAAGGGGAGAGUGAUCCAACAUGGGAAGCGAGAUACUCAGCAGACUCAUAGAAUGGCAGAUGUCCUAAAUAGCACUCUGGCCUCAGAAUCAGCCCUAAAGGCAUUCGGAUCUGGCUGAAAAGCCCAUGAGAGUAUUUCAGGCAUGGAAAGCCAAGACACUCUGGCAAAAGAUCUCUGUGAGUGAGAUCCCAGUGGAAAGAACAGGUCUUCAAAGAAGGAGGUACCUUUCUCUGAAGGGAGGAGAGAACCUCCACUUUGACUAUGACCUUGUCUAAACAAGAUAAGAAUCGGAGAACUCAGAGGGCUUCCAUAGCCUUGGAAACUCAUGACCGGAGCAUAGGGAGACUACUGAUGCAUAGACAGGAGUGUCAAUUGGUAAAGUCAACAACGGGAGUCACUGUGCACUUACUCCUCAUGUAGGAUCUCUGUCCUUAAUGUGCUGUGUAUUGAGAUUUAAUGCUAUAACGAGUACUCAAACAAUAUAUUUCACUUUGUGUUUUUAUGGGGGUGCAAACUGUUGAAAUCUUUACCUAAUGUAUACUAAACUGAUCCUCUGUAAAAAAAAAAAAAAAAGAAAUUGUCAACUCCCAACUUGACUCUCACUGGGAUUAAACAUGACAAUAGGUCUGAUCUGAUUUCAUCAUCAUUUAAAAAAAAUCAUCUAUUAUUUUUCACUUUUUGUUUUUGUGUGAGCAAACUGUUGAAAUCCUUACUUAAUGUAUACUAAGCUGAUCUUCUGUAUAUUAAGAUAAUCGAAAAUGAAUCUUGAUGUGAAUGGAAGGGGAGAGGGAGUGGGAAAGGGGAGUGUAGUGGGUGGGAGGGACGGUAUGUGGGGGAAGCCAUUGUAAUCCAUAAAUCGUACUUUGGAAAUUUAUAUUCAUUAAAUAAAAGUUAAAAAAAAUAAAAAAAAAUAAAAAAAGUGGUAAACCAUUGAAAUGACUGUAAUUCAUGGCAAAGAAAUUCAGUACGAUUCCAUUGGCUUCUUAUUAAUUUUUGGAAGGCAUCUUGACUGUGACAAGAAGGGUGGAGGAGGGCCAGGGAGCAGAGGACUAAAGUUCCAAGGGGAUUGAUUGGAAAGCAUUGGUGAGUCAUUUAAAAGUUUUAUCUGGGGAAGUUCUGCUUGUUUUACAAACCUCCCUCACUGCUACUGAGCACACUGCCUCCAACAUCUUUGCUGGAAAAGUCUGAUUUUAACAUUAAGGAACUGAUUCCCUAAAAUUGGACCAUUCCCCAUCCAAAUGGAAUCUUGCCCUUGUACAGAAACAUGUCCACAGGGAUAAACCUGACCAGGAAUGGGAGGGCCAUGUGGGAAGAAGACAUGACAAGGCCCCGGGUGAAGGAGUUGCCUUGAAUGAAUGGUAACAGAGAGGAUGCACUGUGUUUUCCUGUUUGGGAGGUUUAAUUCUUCACGGUUUGCUUGGCUGUCAGAACACUUCACAUUUUUAUUUGUGAACAUACAUGGUGAUCAUCCUUAAGACAAAAAAAAAAUCUGAUGGCAGGUCCCUUGGUGCCGUUGUUCAGAACAGAUGUUGCAAUCAGAGCUGGGCCUUCAAUUCUCACCUCUGAGAUGUUGUAAAUUGCAUAAAGAAGCAUCUCUGCUCCCCCUUUCAUGUUUCACAUACCACUCAUGGUGGUAACCGUGGAGAAAAAAGUUGAAAUUGACAAACUUAACCAAGUUGUUGCUCACCAGGACAGAGCCGUUGUUUGUGUUGAUCCAGUCACCCACAGCUCAUGUAACAAGCAAAAUACAUAAAUUUAACUCAACAGGGGAAUCUAAAAGGGAGCCUCACACACUUGGAUCAUCAGCAUGGAACAGCAAUGUGGAAGCAUGAGGUUCAGGAAAGCGUAAACAUUCCUUUUCACAUUGAGGAACAAUACGAGAGUGACAGAAGCAGAAGCAGUGUGGAGUAGCCUGAACACUGUCUCUCCACUUAGAGAGCAAAAGGGGUUUUCUCUUAGAUGGAAAUGAUGUUCCAGCUUGUCCCACUUCUCAUCACAGCAUCUCCUCUCCAGCAUCCCUGACAUGGGGCUAUCUCACCUUUCCUUGAACUCUUCUGCAGACUGAAGUUUGUGCAUUCCAACUUGUUGUUUGGGCUUUGUUGAACCUAGCCUAAGUCUGGAUAGUACGGUGAAAAUUGAAUAAACAGCCACAGUGACUUCAGGAAGUUUUUUUUUAUGCAAACAUCUGUUUCUUGAAUUUGGCUAUGGCUAGACCUUGGAGAAGGGAGAAUACCAACAGAUUAAAUAAGAUCUAGAAGAUACUGCCUCAUUCUUCUUUUCUGUUUUAGGAAUACAAAGUCUGUCUCCUUUCACCAUUAUAGUGGAAAGAAACCCUUUCCAAGUUUCCUCCAAUGCUGGGUUUAUGAUGAUGAAAUCAUGUGGAUGCUUUUUCUGGUAUUUUUCUGCACUACAAAUGUAAUCUGCUUUGAAAAAAGUUCCCUGCAUGCAUAUCCAAAUAAAAAUUUAGAGUAAAGAUGAGUAGAGCAAUCAACAAAUGGUCAUCAAACACGUACGCUUGUCUAGCACUGGGCAAUAUGCUAACGUGUAUUGAGAAGUGUAGGAGAGUGAGGCCUUGUAUUUCAUGAAAUUUGGAAUUUGUUAGGAAGAUUGGUAAGCAUUAAAGACUAAUAAAAGACAAGUUAUGGUUUGGGAAUAUAGGACCCAAUCAUAAUAGCUGUAGUAUUUGUAACAGGAGAAGAUCGGGUUGACAGUUGAAGCUGGAGAAGACUUCCAAUAGGAAGUGUGAAUGAUGCAGGAUCUAAGGUGCUGAGAAGCUCUGAGCAGCCAGAUCCCAGGCAGGAAACAUUUAUAGUGGGGCAAAGUGUACGAGCAACCAGCAAGAGUUAUUUAGUCAAUAUAUUAUCUUCCUGCCAAGAGUUCAUUGUGUGAGCACAUUUUUUUUUAUCCCCAUUUAUCAAUGGGGAGAUGGACCUGGUAACAGAUGAGUAAUGAUAAUAACAAGGAUGACUGACAUCUGUUUAGCACUCACUAUAUUCCAGGAGUUGUUCCAGGAUUUUUAUGUAUAUUAAAUUAUUUAUGCCUCAUAACAACCCUACUAGAUAAGUACUAGUCUUAGGCGCCAGUUAAGCAUGAAGCAGCUGAAACAGAGAAGUUAAGUAACUAGCCAAGGCACACACAGACAGGCCCCACUAUAUCCACAGCCCACACUUAUGACACACUAUCAAUGUAUGACAGGAGCAGAAGUGUGCUGAGCAAAAUGGCACUGACCUUGUAGGAGGGAUGAAAUAUCAAAGCGGAUAUCAAAGUGGGGGGGACAUGUGUGUAUGACAGGUGAAAAGGGCAGACAGUCAUUAUUCUCAUUCUCAAUUUUCUGAUUUUGAGAGCCCAUAGUGAGUCCAAAAUGUAGGUCUGAACACCAAAAUGCAAGCUAUUUCAGGACAUCACCAUUCCAGAAAAUACACCGUCUAUCCGUUCAAGACCAAAGAAAACCCCUCCAAAUGUUGAUCCCAAGACUUCCAAUCAUCCCAGCCUCCCAAUGGGUCCAGGACUGCUGGAGGAGAAAGAUGCAAAGGUUGGAAGAGAUCUCCUCAACAUCUCCUAAAACCCUUCCUUAGGGGCUGUUGUUGUGGCACAAUGGGUUAAGCCAACACUGGCAUCCCAUAUGAGUGUCAGUUCGAGACUCAGCUGGUCCACUUCUGAUCUAGCUCCCUGCUAAUGUGCCUGGGAAUGCAGCAGAUGAUGGUUCAAGUAUUGGGGCCCCUGUCACCCAUGUAGGAGACUCAAACAGAGUUCCUGCCCCUGGCUCCGGGCUUUAGCUUGGCCCAGCCUCAUUGGAUGUGACCAUUUGGGGCAUGAACCAGCGUAUGAAAUAGUCUAUCUGCAAUUCUAUCUAUAUCUGUAAUUCUGCCUUUUAAACAAAUCUCUCUCUUUUUAAAAAUUUCUUAGGUCUCUGUUUUUAGCUCCUAUAGAAAUGUGAUUCUCAGUUUUUUUUUUUUAUUUACUUACUUAUUUAUAUUGUUUGAAAAGCACAGGGACUCACAGAGAUAGAAACCAAGACAGACAGAGAUCUGGUUCACUCCAUUCCUGAUUUAUUCCCCAAAUGCCCAUAAGAGCAAGGGGUGGGGCUGACAUUGUGGUGUAGCAGGUUAAGCUGCCAUCUACAGAGCUGGCAUUCCACAUUGGUGCCAGUUCCUGUCCAGGCUGUUUCAUUUCCAAUCCAGCUCUGUGCUAAUGGCUUAGGAAAGCAGCAGAAGAUCGCCCAAGUGCUUGAACCCCUGUACCUACAUGGGAGACCCAGAUGAAACUCCUGGUUCCUAGCUUCAGUCUGGCCUAGCCCUGGCUAUUGCAGCCAUUUGGAGAGUGAACCAGAGGAUGGAAGACUUCUCUCUCUGCCUCUCCCUCUCCCUCUCUGUAACUUCACCUUUCAAAUAAAUAAAAUAAAUAUUUUUUUAAUUAAAAAAGGCAGGGAGCUGAGCCAGGACAAAGCCAGCAGUCCAGAAGUCAAUCUGGGUCUCUCAUGAGGGUGACGGGGACCCAAGUACUUGUGCCAUCAUCUCCUGCCUCCCAGAGUUCACAUUAUCAGGAAACUUGAAUCAGAAGUGGAGCUGGGACUUGAACCCAGGCACUCUGAUAGGGGUUGUGGAGUCUCAAGCAGCAUCUUAACCAAAUGCCCACUCGAUUACAGUGAUUUGAAACAUAGACUUUUAGUAGAAGAAUCAAUUUUUCUCAAACAAGUCCUUAGUGUCUCAAUAAAUAAGAUAAAAGGUGAGCUAAUGUGAGGAAAUAUGGUGCCAUAAAAGCAAGAGUUCCACUCCUGGCUUAGCUUUUGCUUCAGCCUCCACUCGAGAUCCCCAAGCAGCCCUAGAUAAUCAGGGAUGCAAAGCCUACUAUGAAAGCUUUCACAACCCUCCAACAGGAUGACUGUAGCAGAAUACCCAGCUAGCCAAUGGCUUCAAUAGGUAAGGUCUUAUUUUUCUUACAAGAACAGGGGUCCUGAAGGUAAUGAGCUUCUAGAAUUGGUUCAAUGGUUCAGAGAUCUCAGUGUCAAGGUCUUUUUGAUUUUCUUGCUUUUUGCUUCAUGAUCUACAAAAGGCUAUUUCAACCCCACAAUCCCAUUUUUGCUCAGGGCAAGAAGAUAGGGCAGUGCCAGCCAUAUCUGUCUCCUCAAGUCAAGAAAAUAAAGGCUUCUUUUGAAAACUUCUGGAUGACUUCUGCUCAGGUCUGACUGGCCUGAAGUGUGUCACAUGGUUGCAUGCAACCCUAAGCUGCAAAGCACUCUGGGAAAACAAAUAUUUAGUUAGCCAUAUUGCCACUGGAACGAAUACUGGGGUUCUGUUCUCAAGGAGGAAUGUAGGUGUGGGUAUGGAAGAGCUCACUCACAGUGUACACCAUGGCCUACUUAAUCUCUCUAUGUUGUGCAUGAAGGGACACAUCACAUUUUAAGGUUCCAUGAUAGAAAGUGCACAUCAAAUUAAUUUACACUGAGAAACUAAUGGCUUCCCUUUUGGUGGGUUCCUCAGGUUGGCGUAAAAAUGGUGCUGAAAAGAGAAAGAGGUGUCAAGGAAACAACAGAAAAGCAUCAAAGAUGCAUUACUGGUAACUCAUGGGAAUCUCCAUGCAAUUUUGGUCAGGUGCACACAUCUAGUUAGGGUACCGCGUUCUCUGGAACAAUGGCUCUUUAUGCAGCGUGUUAAAGUAUUUUGUCUCGAGUGUAAGCAGUAUAGCUUGUUCAACCAAAUACAUUCUCCUGAGUAUCCAGAGAAUGGAUUUGCUAAAGUACAACUGAACUUAAUAGGUACAUGACAAAAAAGAGGGAGAAGUUAACUCAGUAAAAUGAGUUCCAAAGCACAUACACACACACCCUCAACUGCAAAGAUAAAAACCAAUCAAGGGUGCCUGCUCUAUUUAUGGAUUUCUGCUACAAAAUGGAUUUUGCUUCCGUGUCUUCCCCCUGCCUCUCUUACAGGUAGUCAGGGGACAGUUCAUCUUGUCUGUCUUUGGUACAGUUAUGGAACUUUUAAGGGGAGACCAGGAGUCUGUGUGGGGACUUGUCCUAAAAGACAGAACAAAAAGAAGUUAUUAAUCACGUUCCCCUUUGCAUAUUUACUGUUUGCCUUCUGAAGAGAAUAUUAGUCUGCUAAGAGAUGCAUAAUUAGGAGCCACGCCAGAUGGAUGAUCAAUGUGGUUUUAAUUUUUUAUAAGGAGAGAAUAGAGGUAUAGCUUGGAGUUUUUAUUUUAAGAAGAUACUUCAGUUCUGUGUAGUUAAACACAAAUAUCUUGCAUUAGAGGGUUAGUGUCUUCCAUGCAAUGAUGUCAAAUAUGUUCUUGAAGCAGCCCUUCUAUUUUUAAACCACAACCCCAGUGGAACAGAAAAGCUGACGGGGCCUACCAGCUGGAAGGGGAAAGCUAACGAGAAGCAGAGCUGGAGUGUGCACUGCCUGCGCUGCAUUGAAUCAUGUCAUCGUCAUUACAAACCAACCACAGGCACCACCGCUUCCCUGCCCCUGGUUGCCCAUCGGUUGAGAGGCAAUUGUUCUCUCCACACUCAGGCUGGACAGGAAUAUAAAGGAGAGCUUUCUGAAGUCUUAGUGAAGCAAAGUGCGUGAAAUCUUCAUCCAGCGUUGGCUGAUUGGGAUUGGUGGCUGAGAUCACCUUAGAGGCCCAGGAAGCAAGACAGAGGCCUGGGGGCAGUGCUCUUGGACCCCUUGGUCCUGACACUUUAGAGAACUAUGAAAUCAACCCAGACGGCUCUGACCACAUAUAAUGUCUAGGCCUAAUAGAGCGGCAUUCUGAAACAGAAUUUUAAAAAAUACAAGAGUGAGUCACAGUCAGUAAGGAUAAGUAUUAUUUAUGCAGUUUUUGUUUCAGUAACAUCCAUGUCCCCAUGUAAGUUGUAUUUCUUUACCUAGAUCACAGUCAAAAAAGUCUAAAACACUGUUGGAGGGUUGAGUGUGACA
Oryctolagus cuniculus (rabbit) is the source of this 10900-nucleotide long non-coding RNA. RefSeq lists it as uncharacterized. Lineage: Eukaryota; Metazoa; Chordata; Mammalia; Lagomorpha; Leporidae. The record is from RefSeq and is a predicted model, not a curated record.